Molecule: unclassified non-coding RNA, 284 nt
Filed under: uncultured Glomeraceae
Lineage: Eukaryota; Fungi; Glomeromycota; Glomeromycetes; Glomerales; Glomeraceae
Description: sequence contains ITS2
Rfam family: 5.8S ribosomal RNA (bases 1-52)
Source: RNAcentral
AACGCAUAUUGCACUUUCUGGUAUUCCGGAAAGUAUGCCUGUUUGAGGGUCAGUUAAAUAAAAUCGGUGUUGUUGCUGCCUUUCGUGGUGACGCGUCGGAAUUGAGUUGUCUUACCCUUCGGUUAAGUGACUUAAAAUUUUGCAUGAUUUUCGAACGUAUUUAAAUUGCUUACGUACGUUUGAGAUAUCGAAUACUUUUAUUAGGUUCGGUCAUCCUCAUGACUCGCGCCUAUAAUUUUUCAUUAAAUGACCUCAAAUCAGGUAAGAAUACCCGCUGAACUUAA